This 865-nucleotide ribosomal RNA is filed under the name uncultured bacterium. RNAcentral's name for it is "bacterial SSU rRNA". It matches the Rfam family "Bacterial small subunit ribosomal RNA", at positions 8 to 916 of the family's 1533-position model. The record is from RNAcentral.
AGAGUUUGAUCAUGGCUCAGGAUAAACGCUGGCGGCGUGCUUUAGGUAUGCAAGUCGAUCGAAUUAGGUAGCAAUACCUAGUUAGAGGCGGACGGGUGAGUAAUGUAUAGGAAUCUACCCAAGAGCCUCGGAUAACCUGUCGAAAGACGGGCUAAUAUGAGAUAGUUCUCGCAAGAGUAAAGAGCGUAACUGCUCGCUUCUGGAGGAGCCUAUAUUCUAUCAGCUUGUCGGUGAGGUAAAAGCUCACCAAGGCUAUGACGGAUAGCUGGUCUGAGAGGAUGGUCAGCCACAGGGGAACUGAGACACGGUCUCCACACCUACGGGUGGCAGCAACCAGGAAUAUUGGGCAAUGGGGGAAACCCUGACCCAGCGACGCCGCGUGGAGGAUGACGGCCUUCGGGUUGUAAACUCCUUUUGCCAAGCCCUUCACAGCUUGGAGAAUAAGCCCUUACUAACUACGUGCCAGAAGUCUCGGUAAUACGUAGGGGGCAAGCGUUAUCCGGAUUUAUUGGGCGUAAAGCGUGUGUAGGUGGUUUUUCAAGUCACCAUUUAAAUCCUAUGGCUUAACCAUAGAACUGGUGGUGAUACUGGAUUACUAGAAGAUCGUUCGGGAUACUGGAACAGUUGGUGUAGUGGUGAAAUACGUUGAUAUCAACUGGAACACCGAAGGCGAAGGCAAGUAUCUGGAAUUUUCUUGACACUGAGACACGAAAGCUAGAGGAGCGAAACAGAUUAGAGACCUGUGUAGUCCUAGCCGUAAACGAUGGAUGCUAGAUACUGGUGUAAGCCAGUGUCGUAAGCUAACGCGUUAAGCAUCCCGCCUGGGGAGUACGGCCGCAAGGCUAAAACUCAAAGGAAUUGACGG